Cavia porcellus (domestic guinea pig) is the source of this 4002-nucleotide long non-coding RNA. RefSeq lists it as uncharacterized. The transcript is spliced from 2 exons. The record is from RefSeq and is a predicted model, not a curated record. Lineage: Eukaryota; Metazoa; Chordata; Mammalia; Rodentia; Caviidae.
UGGUAGUUUUGGGGGUGUUGAUGAGUCAUUUCACCAUUAAUAUCACCAAAUGGAGAUAUUAAUACAUGAAGUGGUUAUAAGAAUUAAAAGAGUUGAUUAUAUAAUAUAGUUAGCUUAGGCUCAUAGCUAACACUCAGCAAAAUGUUGCUCAUUUUUAUUGAAUAAUCUAGAAAAUGGUUUAGUUCCAAAGGGGACCGUACAGUUGGUUGCAUGUAAUGAGACCAAAGGAGAAUGGUGGGGGAUGGCUCAAAUGGGCUCUUUGCAAUGAAGUUUAGCAUCCAGUGACCAUCUUAUUGGAUUUUCUUAGGGUGAUGAUUUUAUCUGUCAGACAAUUGGGGCCUGAAUUUUAUUUCAAAACGUGCUGCCAGCCUCGCCCAGCGACUCCAAACAGCCAGGGGAGAGAAGCUGUGAGCCGAGCGGCAUGAGCUGAAGGCCAGCAUAGCUAACUCCACCUAGCUGUACAGCCUUGCUACAUUGUUCGGAACCUGGUAUGGCCCUGCCUAGAGAUCCCCCCACAGCCAGGGAGCUUUGGAGCAUUCUCCAAUCACGGUUGGACCCGCCCAGCGACUGCAGCAGCUAGGGAACCUCUGUUUGCCGCAAGGUGCGGGCUGAAAGCUUACACGGCAUAAUCCACCUAGCUGUGCAGGAGCCUAAGUAAAUCCCUCCGAACCUGGCAGGCCCCGCCCAGCGUCCUCCACAGCCGAGGAGUUUUGGAAUGUUGCUUGGCUCCUGGUUGGGCCCGGCCAAAAGAUUCCAAACAGCCCGGGAACCUCUGCAUUACAAGCUGCAAGCCGAGCGGCGAGAGCUGAAGGCCUGCACAGCGAACUCCACCUAGCUGUGCUGCCUUUCUACUUCUCUCUGAACCAGGUCUCAUCCAGUGACCCCAAGCAGACGGGGAGCUUUCAUCCGCCGCGUGGCAAGAGCUGAAGGCCUACCCAGCAUACUCCACCUAGCGGUUCAGCCUUGGUACUCUACUCAGAACCUGGUAGGAAUCGGCCUAGCAACCUCAACAGCCUGAGAGCUUCGGUGUGCCUCUUGGAGGUUGCUGAAGGUCCGCCCAGUGCACUUCCCCAUUCAGGGAUCCUCUGAGUGCCGUUAGGGACCAGGUAAGGCCUGUCUAACGACCCCCACUCAACUGGGGAAACUCCCUCCAGUAAGAACAGCCAUCCUCAACCCAGGAAACAGCUGAGACUGCAUUUGGCUGCCCCAGGGGAAUACAGGAAAAUGACAAAAAGAAAGAGCAAAAAGCAAUGUCAAGUCUCCUGCCCUUCCCAAAAAAGCCUAGAAGACACGGACAUAAAAGGAAGUGUAAGCCACACACCUGAAAUUUCUGAAACGAUAGCAACUGAAAUAAAGAAAGAACUCCAUGAAGCUCUGAAGGAACUCGCAUCAGAAAUAAUAUCCCAGGUAAAAGAAGAAAUAACAAACACAAUGAGAGAAAUGCUGAAUACAUCUGAAGAAUACAAAAUUAAAGAAAUAGAGAAGCACAAUAAAAUGUUGGAAACCUUGAAUGAACAACAUAAGGAAGGAUUAGAAUGCAUGAAACAGAUUCAAAAAGAUAUCCAAGAAAUCAAACACAUGCUGGCUCCAGAAAUGAAACGCCUCUCUUGGUCAGAGAUCCUCUGAAGUUAUUAUAUCCCUCAAAAAAAAUCCAAUUUACUAUGAAUCAUGGAGAAUUUUUUUUUCUGCAACUUGUCUUGGUGGAAGACUGUGGGUGAAAAGUAGAAAACAGGUUGAAUAAUGACUCAUUGCUCACUGUACAACAAAAUUUAAUACAAUUCACCAUUGCAUGUGUCUAUUCUUCAUCUACCAUUUGUCUUAACUUUCUCUCUUUCCCACCUGUUAUAGUUUGUUUGGAUGCCCCUCCCAAGCCUCAUGCAAUCAUGGACAUGGCUGAAUCUAGCAUUUGUGAUUGGUUUGUUGUCUAGCACUGGGAUUGGCAAUGUGAGUGCUGCAUCCACCCAGGGGCAGAGCCAAUGACAUACAGUGUAAGGGUGGGAAGAAGAUGAGUCUUUCCUUUUUUGCUCUGUUUGUGCUUGCUGUUUGCAGUGGCCAUGAAUGGCUGCCCUGCCAUGCCAUCCUGCCUUGGAGCCAGCUGAGUAUGGACUGAAACCUCCAAGAACUAUAAGAAAUAAACCUUCCCUUGUUUCACUUUCGACGACAUGUAUUUUGUCUCAAGAAUGAGAAAAAAUAGGAUAGAAUUUGGUACUAGGUGUGGAGUCUUUGCUGCAACUGUACCUGAUCAUAUUGUUAAAGAGCCUUUAAGAAUGACUUGUAGGAAGAGUAGGUAAAGGUUGGGAGAUGUCACCUGAAACAGUGGCACUGGAACAGAUUAGGAUGUUCUGUCAGAGAUUCUGGAGAUUCUGGUCAGAGGUCAAGAGACCAGAAAGGUAAUAGAAAGCCUGCUGGUAAAGACCAGGCUCUGGAGGUUUCUGCUGGGAAGGACUACAUUGGUUGUUGGACUACACACAAUGUGUGUUAUGGCUUUGCAGAAAGUUUGUAUGCAUUUUGCUCAUGUCUAGAGACUCCGCCUGAGACUGAGAUUAAGGGCAGCAAACUGAUUAAUCUGGUAAAGGAAAAAAAAUAUGGUAAAAGACAUUUUAAGGCAGUCUAAUGUUGAGGCAGUGGCAUGGCUAAUAUUGAGGGCUUUUAGCCAGAUUUAUGUUGUGAAACGAGCAACAAGCCCAGCAGGAUGAUUUACAAUGUUGUAAAUUUGGCCAGAAAGCUAUGGACUAUAAAGAUGGAGUUCAGACCUUGAUUGCUAAGGAGAAAUAGGAAAAUAAAAAUGAUGGUCUGGGGGCAUCCCGGAAAGCAAGAGGUCCCCAGUCUUUGCAGCCUCAAAACUGUAAAAGUGAAAGACUUUGCUCAGAGGAGACAGCCACAGAGUGCUGUGUUCCAGAGUGGUGACACAGGCCACAGGAGGUUCCAAAAUGGUGGCAGCCACACCGGAUUCCAGAAUGGUAGCAGCAUAGAGCUGUUCCUCACAAUCAGGUUCAGAGAGCUCAGCAAUCAAGGCACUCAACUCUUACAGCCAAGAGAGAGGAAAGCUUGGCUACUACUCCAGCUCCAGCAGACCUAGGCAGCACCCACAUGGUGCUGGUUUUAGGUGAAUGGAGAAUACAUGAGUUCUGAGGUUAAAGCAGCUUCCACUCCAAUUUCAGAAGACCUAGGAGGCCAAGCAGUGUGCCCAAGAGGGCAGUAUGUGAAUGUGAAGGCAAAGGUGCAAUGGAGACCCCAGAAGUUUUGAAAAGCCAGGAACAUGAAUCAGCCAAGGAAAGCUGUUAAGACUGAGCAGAGAAAGUGGGCUUAAGAGAGAAGCUGUGGGAGAUGAAAUCCCUGGAAAUGCUGAGGAGAUGGAGUCACUCAAGCCUUUUGGAGCUUGUAACUAGAUUGCUUCAGAUGAUGAGCAUUGAACUCCAGGACUUAAUGUCUGCUCUGUUGGAUUUUGAACUUGCUUUGGUUUCAAUGCUUUCUAUCCCUCUGUUUGUAACUUUUGGAAUAAUAAUGCUUAUCUUAUAUGUUGGAAGUGUUUAACUUUACUUUCAUUUGUCAGGGGCUUGCAGCUAAGAGUUUGCCUUAGACUUGGGACUUGGACUUUUCAUAAAUGCUGAAACUGUUAGGACUUUGGCAACUUGGAGAUGGACUAAAUGUCUUUUGUAUAAAGGACGUACAUGAGUUUGGGAUGCCAGGGGUGGAAUGUUAUGUUUUAUGUUUGGAUGCAUCCCUCCAAGCCUCAUGCAAGCAUGGACAUAACUGAAUCUAGCAUUUGUGAUUGAUUUGUUGCCUAGCCCUGGGGUUGGCAAUGUGAGUGCUGCAUCCACCUAGGGGCAGAGCCAACAUACAGUAUAAGGGCGGAUAGAUGUGUCUUUCCUUUUUUGCUGUUUGUGCUUGCUGUUUGCAGUGGCCAUGAAUGCUGCCAUGCCAUGCCAUCCUGCCUUGGAGCCAGCUGAGUAUGGAUUGAAAUCUCAAAGAACUAUAAAAAAUAAACCUUCCCUUGCUUCA